CCUACGGGGUGCAGCAGUGGGGGAUAUUGCACAAUGGGGGAAACCCUGAUGCAGCGACGCCGCGUGGGUGAAGAAGCGCCUCGGCGCGUAAAGCCCUGUCAGCAGGGAAGAAAAUGACGGUACCUGAAGAAGAAGCCCCGGCUAACUACGUGCCAGCAGCCGCGGUAAUACGUAGGGGGCAAGCGUUAUCCGGAUUUACUGGGUGUAAAGGGGGCGCAGACGGCGAUGCAAGCCAGGAGUGGAAGCCCGGGGCCCAACCCCGGGACUGCUCUUGGAACUGCGUGGGUAGAGUGCAGGAGGGGCAGGCGGAAUUCCUGGUGUAGCGGUGAAAUGCGUAGAUAUCAGGAGGAACACCGGUGGCGAAGGCGGCCUGCUGGACUGCAACUGACGUUGAGGCCCGAAAGCGUGGGGAGCAAACAGGAUUAGAUACCCCAGUAGUC
RNAcentral lists this ribosomal RNA (440 nucleotides) under uncultured bacterium. RNAcentral's name for it is "partial 16S ribosomal RNA". It matches the Rfam family "Bacterial small subunit ribosomal RNA", at positions 338 to 795 of the family's 1533-position model. The record is from RNAcentral.